Molecule: long non-coding RNA, 584 nt
Filed under: Homo sapiens (human)
Lineage: Eukaryota; Metazoa; Chordata; Mammalia; Primates; Hominidae
Description: non-protein coding lnc-C8orf86-4:1
Source: RNAcentral
ACCACCUCCCUCCUUAACAUUUCUGGAGACUUGGAGAUGCGGCGUUGAGAUUCGGGGGAGAAAAGAAAGUUCCCUUGGAUCCCGAGUUAUUUAAGAUCUCACCAAGUUAUUCGCCGCCGCUGAUGUGCCCUACCCUUUGCACCUCCGGACCAGCGCUUUUUUUGGAAUACUAUCUAGCCUUGAGACUGUUUAGCAGAAAGUGGCCAUUUUCCUCCCUUGGCCCGGGCUCCCGGUUUCCUCCCUGAGGCUUGUUUAAAAGCGAAGUAGCAGGGCCCCGUGGGACGCGCCUUGGUCUGGGUAAUCACCCCCACGCCCGGGUCAUCCACCUUCCUCUCGGUGACCGAGGUUCAGCAGCCUCUGCUAUUGCCGGCCGUCUUUGCCGAUGGCCUGCCUCCCUAAUGACUUGUUUACAUAUCCUACCCCCAGUGGGUUAGGAGAAGCUCCGGGGCUGCCCCGACCCUCCGAGUGCAGGGUGUUUGGGGACCGGGAGGCUGCUGGGGCCUGACUCCAGCUGGGAGGGUUAUGAACUGCAUCAGUGACGAGCUGCUUGAAAUAUCUGUUGCAUUUACUCUUAGUCAUAGCUG